RNAcentral lists this ribosomal RNA (404 nucleotides) under Pseudo-nitzschia fraudulenta. RNAcentral describes it as "partial Bacterial large subunit ribosomal RNA". It matches the Rfam family "Bacterial large subunit ribosomal RNA", at positions 1951 to 2354 of the family's 2925-position model. Lineage: Eukaryota; Bacillariophyta; Bacillariophyceae; Bacillariales; Bacillariaceae. The record is from RNAcentral.
CUAAGGUAGCGAAAUUCCUUGUCGGGUAAGUUCCGACCUGCACGAAUGGCGUAACGACUUCCCCACUGUCUCCAGGAUAUGCUCAGCGAAAUUGAAUUCUCCGUGAAGAUGCGGAGUACCCGCGGUUAGACGGAAAGACCCCGUGCACCUUUACUACAGCUUUGCAGUGGUAUCAGGAUGUGAAUGUGCAGAAUAGGUGGGAGGCUUUGAAGCCAUGGCGCCAGCCAUGGUGGAGCCACCUUUGAGAUACCACCCUUUUGCUUCCUGAUAUCUAACCGAGGUCCGUUAUCCGGAUCCGGGACCCUGCAUGGCGGGUAGUUUGACUGGGGCGGUCGCCUCCCAAAUGGUAACGGAGGCGCGCGAAGGUGGGCUCAGAGCGGUCGGAAAUCGCUCGUUGAGUGCAA